GAUAGCAUAGAUGAACCACUCUUCGUCGAUUAUCGACCUUCCAGCUCCCGCUAUGGUACCGGACCGACGGCGGUGGGCAUUCUUGAGGCGUAUAUUUUUCAAAAGCAAUGUCCAAUCCGAUAACAAUCCAGGAACUACUGGAAUACGCCUUCCACAUAAUACUUCGUAGCAGUAGCGCCUUCGGAAGCACCUACAAGUUUUCAUUGCGUCCUUGAAAUUCUCCUCCUAUUGCAGCUUCAGCUUUCUUGGUUCCGGCAAAACGUACACAUCUCCUCUGGAGGUACGAAACCGAGGUAAACAGCAGUGCCUGGGUAUGCUUGUCGAUGACAUUUGACAUUUCAAUCAUAUACACGCUCGUCCGGCUGAACUCAAUUUUGAGUCGCUUUAACUCAAAAUGAUAACUUCUUCAGAGACGUCAAACGCUGAGUAACUGAGAAUUAUUAUUUUGAGUUAGUUUGACUCAUUCUGCAUAAAUCGAAGCAGAACUAAAAAAUGAGUUCACAGUGAAAAUUUCAAGAAGUCCAACGGUCGAUGAUAGAAACUUCAUAACUAAAACCAUGAUGCAACAAUCCAACUAUUCAGACAAGUUUCGGGACUUUGGUGAGGGCCCUUUUAAACAACGUCAGAUAUCAGCAUCAGUGAUCGCUAUUACGACAUCCAGAUGCUGUUUAAUGCAGAUAUGAAGGUUCAAAGGAGGUUUGGGCAGAGGUCCACGGUUAGAACCCUAACUAACGACAUUUCAGCAGCCCGUGGCAGCUAUUUUAUUUUAGGAACGUUUUUAUUAUUAUUUUAUUAUAUGUAGUAAUCAGAAUAUGUAUUUGUUGUAUGUGUAUAUGAUGUAAUUCAAUUUAUAUUUGAUAAGA
Molecule: long non-coding RNA, 863 nt
Organism: Armigeres subalbatus
Lineage: Eukaryota; Metazoa; Arthropoda; Insecta; Diptera; Culicidae
Exons: 3
Source: RefSeq, a predicted model, not a curated record